UAACGUGCUCAUUCUAGGUCUGCUAUUUCACCAUAACACACCAAAUCUAGAAGCAUCACUCUUUCAAAAAUAAUUUUGCUCUAUUCAUCUUGUAUAUGUCUGUUACGAUUUCAAUUUUCUGACAGAACAAACUAUCAACACCUCUGUUAAUUGCUUAACAAUGGAAUGAAUUUUGAUAUAUCUAUUUGGACUUAUAGUUAGCGCUGCUGCAUAUAUUUAUGACUUACAGGUAAGUGUUCCCUAUUUUGGGAAUUUUUCCUUUUUCUCUUCGAAUUCCAUAGAUUAUAUUUUGCACCGCUAAUUGCAAUAGAAGUUUUCGGUGUUUAUCUUGUGUAUUUAGCUCUUUUCUUAACUGAUUCUACUUAUUCAUAUUUUAUUUUGAAUAUCUGGUGCCAAAUUUCUUGGUUCUGUCCAGACGGCCUCAAAGAUGUUCUUUGAGAGGUCGCAACAUUUUAGAAAUAUGAGUCGUCUACAAUGAGGUAAUGUUCGUGAGAUUUUACCCUUUUAUUCUUCGUUCUCCAUCACCACUGGCCUCAAUGGAAAAAAUAAAAUUUAUUAAAGGCAAUUGUUGUAGCCUUAGUCUCUUUUUUAAACUAAUUUUGCACAUGCUUAUGCUCAUUGACUAUUUUGUGUCAAUUUGUUAGCAAUCAAUGGUACUAAAGGAACUUAAUGCGAAUAGAAAAAGGCUUUUUGAACUAAACUCUCAAAGGUAGACGAAUGAUGGAUUAGUUUCACAAGCUAUUAGUGGUUCCAAGAGCUAAUCUCAGUUAUCAUAGAUAUGUCAAACCCAAAAAUUUGUAGUGGCAGCAAGAAGAGAGCAAGAAGGGUACAACUUCAAAUUUAGAGCAAGAAGUGCUAAAAGCAUCAGAUCCACAUGUGAGACGUCUGUUUUACCAAUUAAAAAGGACUUUGUGUGAAUAUACAAUGAUUGGUACAAAUGCUAAAGGAGAUUGGCUUGUUAUGAAAAUGAAAGUAAGAUUUUCGACUUGGAAGGUAACCGAUUCAAAAGACCAACUCUUCCCAAGCUUUGCAAUUUUCCAAACAUUGUAGAAAUGUUAAGUGCACUUUGACUGUCUGUCAUUGUCCAUUGUAUGCAGAGUCUGAGCUAGAUAUUUGUUAUUGUUCACUGUUUCAGAUUGAAUUCCCUAAGCUUCAAGUAUAUGUGAUGUAGCUUGGAUGCUUGAUUUCUGUGAUUGCAAAGUAAAAUAUUUUGUUCUUUGUUUCCUGACUUCUUUUGUUUUUGCAACUUAAAUAUUUGGGAGGUUUGAUUUACAUGGCAUGUAUUUUACUUUUUCAGUUUUUGUGUCUUCAUGUUUGAGACUUCUGAAUUUACAUUCCCUUGUAAAUAAAAAAUGUCUUACGUUUGAGGUUUA
Nicotiana attenuata is the source of this 1373-nucleotide long non-coding RNA. RefSeq lists it as uncharacterized. NCBI's taxonomy places the organism in Eukaryota, Viridiplantae, Streptophyta, Magnoliopsida, Solanales, Solanaceae. The record is from RefSeq and is a predicted model, not a curated record. The transcript is spliced from 5 exons.